UACGAAGGGGGCUAGCGUUGUUCGGAAUUACUGGGCGUAAAGCGCACGUAGGCGGACAUUUAAGUCAGGGGUGAAAUCCCAGAGCUCAACUCUGGAACUGCCUUUGAUACUGGGUGUCUUGAGUAUGGAAGAGGUGAGUGGAAUUCCGAGUGUAGAGGUGAAAUUCGUAGAUAUUCGGAGGAACACCAGUGGCGAAGGCGGCUCACUGGUCCAUUACUGACGCUGAGGUG
This 230-nucleotide ribosomal RNA is filed under the name uncultured bacterium. RNAcentral describes it as "partial 16S ribosomal RNA". It matches the Rfam family "Bacterial small subunit ribosomal RNA", at positions 524 to 753 of the family's 1533-position model. The record is from RNAcentral.